This 289-nucleotide unclassified non-coding RNA is filed under the name rhizosphere metagenome. Its description in RNAcentral is "partial ribosomal RNA internal transcribed spacer region". The record is from RNAcentral.
GUAGGUGAACCUGCGGAAGGAUCAUUACUUGUUGUAUUUCAGCUCGUCUGACUAUACAUACAAACAAACACCAAUCUGCGCUCCUUUUUCUUUUUCCACUCCCUACACCCUCUAUUUUUAUAUCAACUGAUCGAGUUGAGUGUGGCUGGUACUUCGGUACUCUCCCUCUCAUCUGUGGAUAUCGCCCUUUCGGGGGUAUAUUCACUUAUGUAACAACUCACUGUGGUGACCCUCACCGGUCUCCUCAGUGUACUUGAAACAACUCCUAACAAUGGAUAUCUCGGCUCUC